Molecule: transfer RNA, 75 nt
Filed under: Janthinobacterium lividum
Lineage: Bacteria; Pseudomonadati; Pseudomonadota; Betaproteobacteria; Burkholderiales; Oxalobacteraceae
Also listed under: 57 other names
Description: tRNA-Gly
Rfam family: tRNA
About the family: Transfer RNA (tRNA) molecules are approximately 80 nucleotides in length. Their secondary structure includes four short double-helical elements and three loops (D, anti-codon, and T loops).
Source: RNAcentral
GCGGGAGUAGUUCAGUGGCAGAACGUCAGCUUCCCAAGCUGAAUGUCGCCGGUUCGAUCCCGGUCUCCCGCUCCA